Molecule: long non-coding RNA, 571 nt
Organism: Eriocheir sinensis (Chinese mitten crab)
Lineage: Eukaryota; Metazoa; Arthropoda; Malacostraca; Decapoda; Varunidae
Exons: 2
Source: RefSeq, a predicted model, not a curated record
CACACUCUCAGUCCUCGCCCAAGUCCCAACCACUAUUUGAGUCAGGCGUGUCUCCUCGCGCUCCUCAGCCUGUCCCUUGUUUGAGGAGUUUGCCCCUAUUAGAUCACUUCUUGACCUGGAGUGGGUCUUUGUCUAGGUUCUGGGACCUUCUGUUGUUUGUAGAGGCUGGAGGAAAGGGACACACUGCCUGUGAAGGGUAGUUGAGGUCGACUCGUAGUGCAGAGUGGCGAGCGAGGCUCAGGCUUGCUGCCGACGGUUGGCGGGCAGCAGCGGGGUGAGGUACUAAAACGUUAUAUACAUGCAGUAGACAAAGUAAAACAUAAAUAGUGACCGAUAUGGCAACAUCAUCAGCUGGUAUUCACCGCUCACCAGAGUAGGCGUAGAAAAAGCUUUGCUCAGAGACGUUUUCGCUUAUAGCACAAAACUUUACAUAUACAACAGGUACUUAGAACCCAUUUUCCUUUGGUUUUGGACCACAAGGAUUCCAUUUCCGCAAUAAAAAAAAAUAGCUCAAACCCCGCCGCACUGGCGGUACAUGUUUUAAAAAACUAUGCCGCAGCGGACGGGUUAA